GGCCCCUUGGUCAAGCGGUUAAGGUUAAGACACCGCCCUUUCACGGCGGUAACACGGGUUCGAAUCCCGUAGGGGUCACCA
RNAcentral lists this transfer RNA (81 nucleotides) under Candidatus Kurthia equi. RNAcentral's name for it is "tRNA-Glu". It matches the Rfam family "tRNA". From Rfam's summary of the family: Transfer RNA (tRNA) molecules are approximately 80 nucleotides in length. Their secondary structure includes four short double-helical elements and three loops (D, anti-codon, and T loops). Lineage: Bacteria; Bacillati; Bacillota; Bacilli; Caryophanales; Caryophanaceae. The record is from RNAcentral.